RNAcentral lists this unclassified non-coding RNA (378 nucleotides) under uncultured Gammaproteobacteria bacterium. Its description in RNAcentral is "contains 16S-23S intergenic spacer region". The record is from RNAcentral. Lineage: Bacteria; Pseudomonadati; Pseudomonadota; Gammaproteobacteria.
UCCGGCUUGUCGCCGGCGGUCCCUUUAGAGUGCCCAACUAAAUGAUGGCAACUAAUGGCGUGGGUUGCGCUCGUUGCGGGACUUAACCCAACAUCUCACGACACGAGCUGACGACAGCCAUGCAGCACCUGUGUGUCGGCUCCCUUUCGGGCACGCCUCCGUCUCGAGAGGCUUCCGACCAUGUCAAGGGUAGGUAAGGUUUUUCGCGUUGCAUCGAAUUAAUCCACAUCAUCCACCGCUUGUGCGGGUCCCCGUCAAUUCCUUUGAGUUUUAAUCUUGCGACCGUACUCCCCAGGCGGAUGACUUCACGCGUUAGCUGCGUUACUAAAGGAAUUGCUUCCCCGACAACUAGUUGACAUCGUUUAGGGCGUGGACUAC